This 254-nucleotide ribosomal RNA is filed under the name uncultured bacterium. Its description in RNAcentral is "partial 16S ribosomal RNA". It matches the Rfam family "Bacterial small subunit ribosomal RNA", at positions 524 to 776 of the family's 1533-position model. The record is from RNAcentral.
UACGUAGGGGGCAAGCGUUGUCCGGAUUUAUUGGGCGUAAAGAGCUCGUAGGCGGUGUGUCGCGUCGGGCGUGAAAACCUGCAGCUUAACUGUGGGCUUGCGGUCGAUACGGGCAUCACUGGAGUUCGGCAGGGGAGACUGGAAUUCCUGGUGUAGCGGUGAAAUGCGCAGAUAUCAGGAGGAACACCGGUGGCGAAGGCGGGUCUCUGGGCCGAUACUGACGCUGAUGCGCGAAAGCGUGGGGAGCGAACAGG